Molecule: non-coding RNA, 2572 nt
Organism: Sus scrofa (pig)
Lineage: Eukaryota; Metazoa; Chordata; Mammalia; Artiodactyla; Suidae
Source: RefSeq, a predicted model, not a curated record
CCCUAAAUUCCUCAGCUGAGCAGCUGUGAGGCUGGGAGUGUCUCUGAAUGAUUUCAAGUUGUUCUGAGGACCCCAGACUAAAGCCUCCUCUUGCCCAAAGGCAUCUGUCUGCUUGAAGCUGCCUUUGGGAAGCUCACAUCGCCCUGAGGUUAGCGUCCAGGAAGGGAGAAAUCCUUAAGAGAGAAGUUGUUUGAAGACCCUGUGGCCGUCUGUAUUGGAGAGUUAAUUCAGGUUCUUCAUUUAAGAGAGUAAACUCUGGAAGGCCGUGGCUUAUAGGCCCCAGUGAUCACUGGCAGGGAAGGGAAGAGAGCUUUUCUUUUUCUCCCGGUGAGGCUAUUGAGUGGCAGGGGCGGGAGCAGUAAGUGGGCGGGACUGAAUCAGCGCCCUCUGAGCAGCCAAAGACCUGCAGGCACAGGAGCUGCCAUCCUUCCAAGAUGUGGCUUCUCCCGCUGGUCCUGACCUCCCUCGCCUCUUCUGCAACUUGGGCAGGGCAGCCAGCCUCGCCGCCUGUUGUGGACACUGCCCAGGGCCGAGUCCUGGGGAAGUACGUCAGCUUAGAAGGCCUGGCACAGCCGGUGGCCGUCUUCCUGGGAGUCCCUUUUGCCAAGCCCCCUCUCGGAUCCUUGAGGUUUGCUCCGCCGCAGCCUGCAGAACCAUGGAGCUUCGUGAAGAACACCACCUCCUACCCUCCCAUGUGCUGCCAGGACCCAGUAGCGGGGCAGAUGACCUCAGAUCUAUUUACCAACAGAAAGGAGAGGCUCAUUCCGGAGUUUUCUGAAGACUGUCUCUACCUAAAUAUUUACACCCCUGCUGACCUGACAAAGAGGGGCAGACUGCCGGUGAUGGUGUGGAUCCACGGAGGAGGUCUGGUGGUGGGCGGGGCUUCCACCUAUGAUGGACUGGCCCUCGCUGCGCAUGAAAACGUGGUGGUGGUGGCCAUCCAGUACCGCCUGGGCAUCUGGGGAUUCUUCAGCACAGGGGACGAACACAGCCGGGGCAACUGGGGUCACUUGGACCAGGUGGCCGCACUGCACUGGGUCCAGGAGAACAUCGCCAACUUUGGAGGCGACCCAGGCUCUGUGACCAUCUUUGGAGAGUCAGCAGGAGGGGAAAGUGUCUCUGUUCUGGUGUUGUCUCCCUUGGCCAAGAACCUCUUCCACCGGGCCAUCUCUGAGAGUGGCGUGGCCUUCACUGCUGGCCUGGUCAGGAAGGACAUGAAGGCUGCAGCUAAGCAAAUUGCUGUCCUUGCUGGGUGUAAAACCACCACCUCGGCUGUCUUUGUUCACUGCCUGCGCCAGAAGUCGGAGGACGAGCUCUUGGACUUAACGCUGAAGAUGAAAUUUUUCGCUCUUGAUUUGCAUGGAGACCCCAGAGAGAGCCAUCCCUUCCUGACCACUGUGGUGGAUGGAGUGCUGCUGCCCAAGAUGCCUGAAGAGAUUCUGGCUGAAAAGGAUUUCAACACUGUCCCCUACAUCGUGGGAAUCAACAAGCAAGAGUUUGGCUGGCUUCUGCCAACGAUGAUGGGCUUCCCCCUCUCUGAAGGCAAGCUGGACCAGAAGACGGCCACGUCACUCCUGUGGAAGUCCUACCCCAUCGCUAACAUCCCUGAGGAACUGACUCCAGUGGCCACUGACAAGUAUUUGGGGGGGACAGACGACCCCGUCAAAAAGAAAGACCUGUUCCUGGACUUGAUGGGGGAUGUGGUGUUUGGUGUCCCAUCUGUGACGGUGGCCCGUCAACACAGAGAUGCAGGAGCCCCCACCUACAUGUAUGAGUUUCAGUAUCGCCCAAGCUUCUCAUCGGACAAGAAACCCAAGACGGUGAUCGGGGACCACGGGGAUGAGAUCUUCUCCGUCUUUGGGGCUCCAUUUUUAAGAGGUGAUGGCCCUUUGGUGACCACAACCUUGGAGUUAGGAGAUCUGGGUUCAAGUCUUGGUCUCGUGGCCUUGGGCAAGUUCCUCCUUCUUUCCAGGUCUUAAUCCAUCUUAAAGGCGUUGAACGACAAAGGCGCCCAACCUUUCUCUUGGUCUCAUGUGCGUGAUGGAGAAGGUGUAUCCUUGUGCCCUCCCUCAUUCAUGGCCACUCCAAGAAUCCAGCCUCAAUAAAACAGGCGAUGCCCCAGAAGAGGAGGUCAGUCUCAGCAAGACGGUGAUGAAAUUCUGGGCCAACUUUGCUCGCAGUGGGAACCCCAAUGGGGAGGGGCUGCCCCAUUGGCCGAUGUACGACCAGGAAGAAGGGUACCUUCAGAUCGGCGUCAACACCCAGGCAGCCAAGAGGCUGAAAGGUGAAGAAGUGGCCUUCUGGAACGAUCUCCUGUCCAAGGAGGCAGCAAAGAAGCCACCCAAGAUAAAGCAUGCUGAGCUGUGAAGGGGAGGCUCGGCUGACCUUGAGGGCUUGUGGGACCGCAGGCAGGAGCAGUCUACCGAAGGCGUUGAUGGGCCAGGAGGUAUCUUCUUGUGGAGGCUGGGGAAUUAGCGGGUGGGAGUGGCGGAGAUCAGGGAGGGGGAAUUUCUGUAGCUGCGGCCUCAAUUUUAGAAAUAAAUGUUCUUUUGGAGACCAAGUCGGUGUCUCA